GAUGAACGCUGGCGGCGUGCCUAAUACAUGCAAGUCGAGCGAACAGACGAGAAGCUUGCUUCUCUGACGUUAGCGGCGGACGGGUGAGUAACACGUGGAUAACCUACCUAUAAGACUGGGAUAACUUCGGGAAACCGUAGCUAAUACCGGAUAAUAUUUUGAACCGCAUGGUUCAAUAGUGAAAGACGGUCUUGCUGUCACUUAUAGAUGGAUCCGCGCUGCAUUAGCUAGUUGGUAAGGUAACGGCUUACCAAGGCAACGAUGCAUAGCCGACCUGAGAGGGUGAUCGGCCACACUGGAACUGAGACACGGUCCAGACUCCUACGGGAGGCAGCAGUAGGGAAUCUUCCGCAAUGGGCGAAAGCCUGACGGAGCAACGCCGCGUGAGUGAUGAAGGUCUUCGGAUCGUAAAACUCUGUUAUUAGGGAAGAACAUAUGUGUAAGUAACUGUGCACAUCUUGACGGUACCUAAUCAGAAAGCCACGGCUAACUACGUG
This 497-nucleotide ribosomal RNA is filed under the name uncultured bacterium. RNAcentral's name for it is "partial 16S ribosomal RNA". It matches the Rfam family "Bacterial small subunit ribosomal RNA", at positions 28 to 507 of the family's 1533-position model. The record is from RNAcentral.